ACCUUUGCUCAUUGACGUUACCCGCAGAAGAAGCACCGGCUAACUCCGUGCCAGCAGCCGCGGUAAUACGGAGGGUGCAAGCGUUAAUCGGAAUUACUGGGCGUAAAGCGCACGCAGGCGGUUUGUUAAGUCAGAUGUGAAAUCCCCGGGCUCAACCUGGGAACUGCAUCUGAUACUGGCAAGCUUGAGUCUCGUAGAGGGGGGUAGAAUUCCAGGUGUAGCGGUGAAAUGCGUAGAGAUCUGGAGGAAUACCGGUGGCGAAGGCGGCCCCCUGGACGAAGACUGACGCUCAGGUGCGAAAGCGUGGGGAGCAAACAGGAUUAGAUACCCUGGUAGUCCACGCCGUAAACGAUGUCGACUUGGAGGUUGUGCCCUUGAGGCGUGGCUUCCGGAGCUAACGCGUUAAGUCGACCGCCUGGGGAGUACGGCCGCAAGGUUAAAACUCAAAUGAAUUGACGGGGGCCCGCACAAGCGGUGGAGCAUGUGGUUUAAUUCGAUGCAACGCGAAGAACCUUACCUGGUCUUGACAUCCACGGAAGUUUUCAGAGAUGAGAAUGUGCCUUCGGGAACCGUGAGACAGGUGCUGCAUGGCUGUCGUCAGCUCGUGUUGUGAAAUGUUGGGUUAAGUCCCGCAACGAGCGCAACCCUUAUCCUUUGUUGCCAGCGGUCCGGCCGGGAACUCAAAGGAGACUGCCAGUGAUAAACUGGAGGAAGGUGGGGACGACGUCAAGUCAUCAUGGCCCUUACGACCAGGGCUACACACGUGCUACAAUGGCGCAUACAAAGAGAAGCGACCUCGCGAGAGCAAGCGGACCUCAUAAAGUGCGUCGUAGUCCGGAUUGGAGUCUGCAACUCGACUCCAUGAAGUCGGAAUCGCUAGUAAUCGUGGAUCAGAAUGCCACGGUGAAUACGUUCCCGGGCCUUGUACACACCGCCCGUCACACCAUGGGAGUGGGUUGCAAAAGAAGUAGGUAGCUUAACCUUCGGGAGGGCGCUUACCACUUUGUGAUUCAUGACUGGGGUGAAGUCGUAACAAGGUAACCGUAGGGGAACCUGCGGUUGGAUCACCUCCUUACCUUAAAGAAGC
RNAcentral lists this ribosomal RNA (1087 nucleotides) under Shigella boydii. Its description in RNAcentral is "bacterial SSU rRNA". It matches the Rfam family "Bacterial small subunit ribosomal RNA", at positions 458 to 1533 of the family's 1533-position model. The record is from RNAcentral. Lineage: Bacteria; Pseudomonadati; Pseudomonadota; Gammaproteobacteria; Enterobacterales; Enterobacteriaceae.